This is a long non-coding RNA of Oryzias melastigma (Indian medaka), 422 nucleotides long. RefSeq lists it as uncharacterized. The record is from RefSeq and is a predicted model, not a curated record. The transcript has 2 exons. Lineage: Eukaryota; Metazoa; Chordata; Actinopteri; Beloniformes; Adrianichthyidae.
CUACAAGAACGUAGGGGAAAAUCCCCAAAUGUGUCUAAUCUUUACUUGUUUGUCCUGAUUAACGAUGUCCAAACCAAAAAGCCCAGGUGAGAUCCAAAACGACCCACCUGACCACAGAGGACGUCUUGGAUCUGACAGGCUGACAGCGGAAGCAGCUCGGUCAACGAGCCGAAGCUGUGGAUCUCUGUUCCUGUAGAUCUUCCCAUCUUGCUUAGCCAAAUACUGAUCUAUCUCAUCCUCCUGGACCUGGGGUGCAGAGGACGACCGAGGGAUCAAGGAGGAUGACGAGGAGGAGGAGGAGAGAGAUGGCAGUGAUGAAGACGAGUGUGGGGUGGCUGUAUCCAUUUUCUCCCCAGAAGACGUUGAUGGGUACAGAAACAACAUGUCCCCAUGCCUACAAAAUAAAAGAAUGAUUAAAAAAU